Molecule: ribosomal RNA, 478 nt
Filed under: uncultured bacterium
Lineage: Bacteria
Description: partial 16S ribosomal RNA
Rfam family: Bacterial small subunit ribosomal RNA
Source: RNAcentral
GAUGAACGCUAGCGGGAGGCCUAACACAUGCAAGCCGAGCGGUAUUUGUUCUUCGGAACAGAGAGAGCGGCGCACGGGUGCGGAACACGUGUGCAACCUGCCUUUAUCUGGGGGAUAGCCUUUCGAAAGGAAGAUUAAUACCCCAUAAAUAUUUAGUGGCAUCAUUUGAUAUUGAAAAACUCGGUGGAUAGAGGAGGGCACGCGCAAGAUUAGAUAGUUGGUGAGGUAACGGCUCACCAAGUCAAUGAUCUUUAGGGGGCCUGAGAGGGUGAUCCCCCACACUGGUACUGAGACACGGACCAGACUCCUACGGGAGGCAGCAGUGAGGAAUAUUGGACAAUGGGUUAGCGCCUGAUCCAGCCAUCCCGCGUGAAGGACGACGGCCCUAUGGGUUGUAAACUUCUUUUGUAUAGGGAUAAACCUACUCUCGUGAGAGUAGCUGAAGGUACUAUACGAAUAAGCACCGGCUAACUCCGUG